RNAcentral lists this transfer RNA (74 nucleotides) under Thermoplasmata archaeon. RNAcentral's name for it is "tRNA-Arg". It matches the Rfam family "tRNA". From Rfam's summary of the family: Transfer RNA (tRNA) molecules are approximately 80 nucleotides in length. Their secondary structure includes four short double-helical elements and three loops (D, anti-codon, and T loops). Further hydrogen bonds mediate the characteristic L-shaped molecular structure. tRNAs have two regions of fundamental functional importance: the anti-codon, which is responsible for specific mRNA codon recognition, and the 3' end, to which the tRNAs corresponding amino acid is attached (by aminoacyl-tRNA synthetases). tRNAs cope with the degeneracy of the genetic code in two manners: having more than one tRNA (with a specific anti-codon) for a particular amino acid; and 'wobble' base-pairing, i.e. permitting non-standard base-pairing at the 3rd anti-codon position. The record is from RNAcentral. Lineage: Archaea; Methanobacteriati; Thermoplasmatota; Thermoplasmata. RNAcentral also lists the same sequence under 2 other names.
GCCCGGAUGGGGUAGCAUGGAUAUCCUUGGGGGCUGCGGACUCCCAAACCCGGGUUCAAAUCCCGGUCCGGGCA